CCCUUAGAUGUUCUGGGCCGCACGCGCGCUACACUGACGAAGUCAGCGAGCAUGUCCUACGCCGACAGGUGCGGGGAAUCUUGUCAAACUUCGUCGUGAUGGGGAUUGAUUAUUGAAAUUCUUGAUCAUCAACGAGGAAUUCCUAGUAAGCGCAAGUCAGCAGCUUGCGUUGAUUACGUCCCUGCCCUGUGUACACACCGCCCGUCGCUACUACCGAUUGAAUGGUUUAGUGAGAUCUUCGGAUUGGCGCCACUGCGGCUCAGCAAUGGGCUCGGUGGAUGCCGAAAAGUUGAUCAAACUUGAUCAUUUAGAGGAAGUAAAAGUCGUAACA
RNAcentral lists this ribosomal RNA (331 nucleotides) under uncultured eukaryote. Its description in RNAcentral is "partial 18S ribosomal RNA". It matches the Rfam family "Eukaryotic small subunit ribosomal RNA", at positions 1470 to 1796 of the family's 1831-position model. The record is from RNAcentral.